UACGAAGGGGGCGAGCGUUGUUCGGAUUUACUGGGCGUAAAGGGCGCGCAGGCGGCUCAUUUUGUCAGGCGUGAAAGCCCCGGGCUUAACCUGGGAACUGCGUUUGAUACGGAUGGGCUAGAGUUCGGGAGAGGAGAGUGGAAUUCCCAGUGUAGAGGUGAAAUUCGUAGAUAUUGGGAAGAACACCGGUGGCGAAGGCGGCUCUCUGGACCGAGACUGACGCUGAGGCGCGAAAGCGUGGGGAGCAAACGGG
This 253-nucleotide ribosomal RNA is filed under the name uncultured bacterium. Its description in RNAcentral is "partial 16S ribosomal RNA". It matches the Rfam family "Bacterial small subunit ribosomal RNA", at positions 524 to 776 of the family's 1533-position model. The record is from RNAcentral.